GGGUUGUGAGGUUAAGCGACUAAGCGUACACGGUGGAUGCCCUGGCAGUCAGAGGCGAUGAAGGACGUGCUAAUCUGCGAUAAGCGUCGGUAAGGUGAUAUGAACCGUUAUAACCGGCGAUUUCCGAAUGGGGAAACCCAGUGUGAUUCGUCACACUAUCAUUAACUGAAUCCAUAGGUUAAUGAGGCGAACCGGGGGAACUGAAACAUCUAAGUACCCCGAGGAAAAGAAAUCAACCGAGAUUCCCCCAGUAGCGGCGAGCGAACGGGGAGCAGCCCAGAGCCUGAAUCAGUGUGUGUGUUAGUGGAAGCGUCUGGAAAGGCGCGCGAUACAGGGUGACAGCCCCGUACACAAAAAUGCACAUACUGUGAGCUCGAUGAGUAGGGCGGGACACGUGGUAUCCUGUCUGAAUAUGGGGGGACCAUCCUCCAAGGCUAAAUACUCCUGACUGACCGAUAGUGAACCAGUACCGUGAGGGAAAGGCGAAAAGAACCCCGGCGAGGGGAGUGAAAAAGAACCUGAAACCGUGUACGUACAAGCAGUGGGAGCACGCUUAGGCGUGUGACUGCGUACCUUUUGUAUAAUGGGUCAGCGACUUAUAUUCUGUAGCAAGGUUAACCGAAUAGGGGAGCCGAAGGGAAACCGAGUCUUAACUGGGCGUUAAGUUGCAGGGUAUAGACCCGAAACCCGGUGAUCUAGCCAUGGGCAGGUUGAAGGUUGGGUAACACUAACUGGAGGACCGAACCGACUAAUGUUGAAAAAUUAGCGGAUGACUUGUGGCUGGGGGUGAAAGGCCAAUCAAACCGGGAGAUAGCUGGUUCUCCCCGAAAGCUAUUUAGGUAGCGCCUCGUGAAUUCAUCUCCGGGGGUAGAGCACUGUUUCGGCAAGGGGGUCAUCCCGACUUACCAACCCGAUGCAAACUGCGAAUACCGGAGAAUGUUAUCACGGGAGACACACGGCGGGUGCUAACGUCCGUCGUGAAGAGGGAAACAACCCAGACCGCCAGCUAAGGUCCCAAAGUCAUGGUUAAGUGGGAAACGAUGUGGGAAGGCCCAGACAGCCAGGAUGUUGGCUUAGAAGCAGCCAUCAUUUAAAGAAAGCGUAAUAGCUCACUGGUCGAGUCGGCCUGCGCGGAAGAUGUAACGGGGCUAAACCAUGCACCGAAGCUGCGGCAGCGACGCUUAUGCGUUGUUGGGUAGGGGAGCGUUCUGUAAGCCUGCGAAGGUGUGCUGUGAGGCAUGCUGGAGGUAUCAGAAGUGCGAAUGCUGACAUAAGUAACGAUAAAGCGGGUGAAAAGCCCGCUCGCCGGAAGACCAAGGGUUCCUGUCCAACGUUAAUCGGGGCAGGGUGAGUCGACCCCUAAGGCGAGGCCGAAAGGCGUAGUCGAUGGGAAACAGGUUAAUAUUCCUGUACUUGGUGUUACUGCGAAGGGGGGACGGAGAAGGCUAUGUUGGCCGGGCGACGGUUGUCCCGGUUUAAGCGUGUAGGCUGGUUUUCCAGGCAAAUCCGGAAAAUCAAGGCUGAGGCGUGAUGACGAGGCACUACGGUGCUGAAGCAACAAAUGCCCUGCUUCCAGGAAAAGCCUCUAAGCAUCAGGUAACAUCAAAUCGUACCCCAAACCGACACAGGUGGUCAGGUAGAGAAUACCAAGGCGCUUGAGAGAACUCGGGUGAAGGAACUAGGCAAAAUGGUGCCGUAACUUCGGGAGAAGGCACGCUGAUAUGUAGGUGAAGUCCCUCGCGGAUGGAGCUGAAAUCAGUCGAAGAUACCAGCUGGCUGCAACUGUUUAUUAAAAACACAGCACUGUGCAAACACGAAAGUGGACGUAUACGGUGUGACGCCUGCCCGGUGCCGGAAGGUUAAUUGAUGGGGUUAGCGCAAGCGAAGCUCUUGAUCGAAGCCCCGGUAAACGGCGGCCGUAACUAUAACGGUCCUAAGGUAGCGAAAUUCCUUGUCGGGUAAGUUCCGACCUGCACGAAUGGCGUAAUGAUGGCCAGGCUGUCUCCACCCGAGACUCAGUGAAAUUGAACUCGCUGUGAAGAUGCAGUGUACCCGCGGCAAGACGGAAAGACCCCGUGAACCUUUACUAUAGCUUGACACUGAACAUUGAGCCUUGAUGUGUAGGAUAGGUGGGAGGCUUUGAAGUGUGGACGCCAGUCUGCAUGGAGCCGACCUUGAAAUACCACCCUUUAAUGUUUGAUGUUCUAACGUUGACCCGUAAUCCGGGUUGCGGACAGUGUCUGGUGGGUAGUUUGACUGGGGCGGUCUCCUCCUAAAGAGUAACGGAGGAGCACGAAGGUUGGCUAAUCCUGGUCGGACAUCAGGAGGUUAGUGCAAUGGCAUAAGCCAGCUUGACUGCGAGCGUGACGGCGCGAGCAGGUGCGAAAGCAGGUCAUAGUGAUCCGGUGGUUCUGAAUGGAAGGGCCAUCGCUCAACGGAUAAAAGGUACUCCGGGGAUAACAGGCUGAUACCGCCCAAGAGUUCAUAUCGACGGCGGUGUUUGGCACCUCGAUGUCGGCUCAUCACAUCCUGGGGCUGAAGUAGGUCCCAAGGGUAUGGCUGUUCGCCAUUUAAAGUGGUACGCGAGCUGGGUUUAGAACGUCGUGAGACAGUUCGGUCCCUAUCUGCCGUGGGCGCUGGAGAACUGAGGGGGGCUGCUCCUAGUACGAGAGGACCGGAGUGGACGCAUCACUGGUGUUCGGGUUGUCAUGCCAAUGGCACUGCCCGGUAGCUAAAUGCGGAAGAGAUAAGUGCUGAAAGCAUCUAAGCACGAAACUUGCCCCGAGAUGAGUUCUCCCUGAGACUUUAAGUCUCCUGAAGGAACGUUGAAGACGACGACGUUGAUAGGCCGGGUGUGUAAGCGCAGCGAUGCGUUGAGCUAACCGGUACUAAUGAACCGUGAGGCUUAACCUUACAACGCCGAAGGUGUUU
This 2931-nucleotide ribosomal RNA is filed under the name Escherichia coli. RNAcentral describes it as "bacterial LSU rRNA". It matches the Rfam family "Bacterial large subunit ribosomal RNA". The record is from RNAcentral. Lineage: Bacteria; Pseudomonadati; Pseudomonadota; Gammaproteobacteria; Enterobacterales; Enterobacteriaceae.